Molecule: non-coding RNA, 72 nt
Organism: Phrynosoma platyrhinos (Desert horned lizard)
Lineage: Eukaryota; Metazoa; Chordata; Lepidosauria; Squamata; Phrynosomatidae
Source: the annotation of a GenBank genome assembly
GCCAGUGUGGCCUAGUGGAUUGAAUACUGGAUUACAACUCUGGAGACAAGGGUUCGAUUUCCAGCUCAGCCA